This 144-nucleotide ribosomal RNA is filed under the name uncultured bacterium. RNAcentral describes it as "partial 16S ribosomal RNA". It matches the Rfam family "Bacterial small subunit ribosomal RNA", at positions 1340 to 1500 of the family's 1533-position model. The record is from RNAcentral.
AAUCGCAGAUCAGCAUGUUGCGGUGAAUACGUUCCCGGGUCUUGUACACACCGCCCGUCAAACCAUGAGAGUCGCCAACACCCGAAGUCCACCUAGUGGCCUAAGGUGGGGGAGAUGAUUGGGGUUAAGUCGUAACAAGGUACC